AUGGCCGCCCCUCACCGUGCUUUCCCCGAUCCGCCGCCGAUGGCCGCCUUCCGUUCUGGCCGACACGCUGCCCACCUCCGCCUGGCCGUACCACCGCGGCUCGCCGCCCACCCUUCCUUCCGCUUCCCCACCACGCCCCUCCCCACCCCAUCCAAGACGCGCCUCCCCGCCGCCGGCGCCGCUUCUCCCUACGCCGCCGCGCUCCUGCGCAUCCUCGCGCUCCACUCCCUCUUCCUUCUCGCGCCCGCCGCCCGAGCGCUCCCCUCCCUGCCCCACCUCUUCCUGCUUCCGCCGGUCCUCGCCAUCAUCUCCGCCGUCGCCAUCCUCCUCAUCCCCUCCAAGAGCCAACCCCACCCCUUCCCGGCGCUCCGCCACCUCUUCCGUCCCGCCCUCCUGCUAGCGGCGUCCCUUCUCCUCCGACUCGCCUCCCUCCACCUCAUCACCGACCCCGGUCUCAUCGUCCUCGCAGAUUCCGCCGGCGCGUUGCUCGCCCGCGCCCUCAACCGUCCCUCCCGCCGCCGCGUGAUCUCCGUCGCUGCCGCCUCCGUUUCGCUCGCGGCCGCAUCACCUUCCCACUCCGUGCUUCUUCUCGUGCUCCCCUUUGCUUCCGGCCUCCUCUCCUCGGUCGAGCACUCUGUAUCUGCGCGACAUGUCACCCGCAGCCGCCACGCCCGUGCGGCCGUUUUUGCCCUCGCCGCCACCUUCCUCUCGGCGCCGGCACUUGCGGGCCUCUUCUUUCUUGGUGGCACUGACACCAGCGAUGGUGUCCCGAUUGGCCAGCUCUGGUGGCUGCUCCUUAAUGCCGCUGUCUUUGGCAUGGCCUUGGGGCGACGGCAAGCCUACGACAGCAGUAGCAGUAGCAGCAGACCAAGCAUGAAUUUUGCAAUGACCUUUGUGUGCACUAUUGUUCUGGAGCUGGUGUACUACCCAAAGCUGUCGUUGCCGGGCUUCUUAAUUUGUGGGUUCGUCUUGUGGAUCGCCAGCAGGGAGCUGACUUCUUCAGGAUAUGUUGAGCUUGGGAGCACUGACGAGUCGGUGUAUGAGGCUGUCAUGGGGCCAGUCCGGCAUAUCCUUAGUGAACGCAAAUCCAGGAAGAUUGCUGCUUUUCUGUUGAUCAACACAGCUUACAUGUUUGUUGAGUUCGCCAGCGGUUUCAUGAGCGAUAGCCUUGGGCUGCUCUCUGACGCUUGCCAUAUGUUGUUUGAUUGUGCUGCUCUGGCAAUUGGGCUAUAUGCAUCGUACAUUGCGAGGCUACCUGCAAAUGGAUUGUAUAACUAUGGAAGGGGCAGGUUCGAGGUGCUAUCUGGGUAUGUUAAUGCAGUGUUCUUGGUGCUUGUUGGGGCCCUGAUUGUGUUGGAGUCGUUUGAGAGGAUACUCGAGCCUCGGGAGAUAUCAACAAGUAGCCUUUUGGCAGUUUCUGUUGGUGGACUUUUUGUAAAUAUCAUUGGAUUGGUUUUCUUUCAUGAGGAGCACCAUCAUGCGCAUGGCGGUAGCUGUUCCCACUCUCAUUCACAUUCUCAUAAUCAUGGUCAUGAAGAUCACCAUCACCAUCAUGAUCAUGUUCAUCAGACUGCUGAUCACGAGAAGACAUGUUCCGGUCAUCAUGGAGACACAAAUAAGAGCCAUCAUCAGAAUCACCAACAUGAUAGCAACAAUGCAGAGAAUCAUCAUCAACAUAACCAUGGCUGUAGCCACAAGCAUGGUCACAAUGGCCACAUGGAACAUCACCAGCAGGGUGUAGAUCAGGCUCAUCAAGAUUGCAGCAGCAUCAGCAGCGAGCAAGGACUUCUUGAGAUUCCACUGAUAAAUGUUCACUCUCAUGGCGCAGAAUCUCAGUCUUGUAAUGGAGAAGUUGAAUCGCCAGAAAUCGGAAACCAUGGCAAGACAGCAAGUCGGCGUCACAUUGACCAUAACAUGGAAGGUAUCUUCUUACAUGUCCUAGCUGACACAAUGGGAAGUGUCGGUGUUGUGAUCUCGACCCUACUAAUCAAGUACAAGGGAUGGCUAAUAGCAGAUCCCAUUUGCUCUGUAUUCAUUUCAAUAAUGAUUGUGGCUUCUGUCCUUCCAUUGUUGAGAAAUUCUGCUGAAAUUUUGUUGCAAAGAGUUCCAAGGAGCCAUGAGAAGGACUUCGAAGCAGCACUGGAUGAUGUUAAGAAGAUUAAUGGUGUGAUUGGAGUCCAUAAUGUUCAUUUAUGGAACUUGACAAACACCGAUAUUGUAGGCACUUUUCAUCUUCAUAUAUCAGCCGAAGCUGAUAAGUCUGUUACAAGAGAAAGUGCUUCACGGAUAUUUCAAGAAGCUGGGGUUCAAGAUUUGACUAUCCAGAUUGAAUGUGUCGAAAGAUAG
This 2346-nucleotide ribosomal RNA is filed under the name Triticum aestivum (bread wheat). Its description in RNAcentral is "partial small subunit ribosomal RNA". Lineage: Eukaryota; Viridiplantae; Streptophyta; Magnoliopsida; Poales; Poaceae. The record is from RNAcentral.